ACAAAGAGAAGCGACCUCGCGAGAGCAAGCGGACCUCAUAAAGUAUGUCGUAGUCCGGAUUGGAGUCUGCAACUCGACUCCAUGAAGUCGGAAUCGCUAGUAAUCGUAGAUCAGAAUGCUACGGUGAAUACGUUCCCGGGCCUUGUACACACCGCCCGUCACACCAUGGGAGUGGGUUGCAAAAGAAGUAGGUAGCUUAACCUUCGGGAGGGCGCUUACCACUUUGUGAUUCAUGACUGGGGUGAAGUCGUAACAAGGUAACCGUAGGGGAACCUGCGGUUGGAUCACCUCCUUACCUUAAAGAA
This 305-nucleotide ribosomal RNA is filed under the name Klebsiella quasipneumoniae subsp. similipneumoniae. Its description in RNAcentral is "partial 16S ribosomal RNA". It matches the Rfam family "Bacterial small subunit ribosomal RNA", at positions 1239 to 1533 of the family's 1533-position model. Lineage: Bacteria; Pseudomonadati; Pseudomonadota; Gammaproteobacteria; Enterobacterales; Enterobacteriaceae. The record is from RNAcentral.